GGGCGCCACCGAGGAAGCGCCCACCGGGCUCCCGGGGCUGCCAGGCCCCAAAUUGAAGAUAGAUUCCAUUCAUCCUUUCUAAUGUCUACACCAUAUUUUGGAUAACAUGCCAUCAUCUCACAUUGCGUUGAAAGAAGAAACCAGAAUGUUGGGGGCUGCUCAAAUAAUUAUUGAUCUGAUCCACUGUGCUCUGGGAAAAACCUGGAUACAUUUAUGUAUUAAUCAAUCCACUUCAUUUUCAACAAUCUACUUGCCUAUAGUCUUUAUAUCAGGAUUCCCAUUUUUGGCAUCCUUAAUUUUGAUGUAUGCCAUAUGGAUGGAUUUAAAGUUUCGGCCUUGCAAUAAUUGGCAUACUUCUAAUUGCAUGUGA
Molecule: long non-coding RNA, 370 nt
Filed under: Gorilla gorilla gorilla (western lowland gorilla)
Lineage: Eukaryota; Metazoa; Chordata; Mammalia; Primates; Hominidae
Description: lncRNA (ENSGGOG00000044291.1)
Source: RNAcentral